Molecule: ribosomal RNA, 1346 nt
Filed under: uncultured bacterium
Lineage: Bacteria
Description: bacterial SSU rRNA
Rfam family: Bacterial small subunit ribosomal RNA
Source: RNAcentral
GACGAACGCUGGCGGCGUGCUUAACACAUGCAAGUCGAACGGAAAGGCCCUGCUUUUGUGGGGUGCUCGAGUGGCGAACGGGUGAGUAACACGUGAGUAACCUGCCCUUGACUUUGGGAUAACUUCAGGAAACUGGGGCUAAUACCGGAUAGGAGCUCCUGCUGCAUGGUGGGGGUUGGAAAGUUUCGGCGGUUGGGGAUGGACUCGCGGCUUAUCAGCUUGUUGGUGGGGUAGUGGCUUACCAAGGCUUUGACGGGUAGCCGGCCUGAGAGGGUGACCGGCCACAUUGGGACUGAGAUACGGCCCAGACUCCUACGGGAGGCAGCAGUGGGGAAUAUUGCACAAUGGGCGGAAGCCUGAUGCAGCAACGCCGCGUGCGGGAUGACGGCCUUCGGGUUGUAAACCGCUUUCGCCUGUGACGAAGCGUGAGUGACGGUAAUGGGUAAAGAAGCACCGGCUAACUACGUGCCAGCAGCCGCGGUGAUACGUAGGGUGCGAGCGUUGUCCGGAUUUAUUGGGCGUAAAGGGCUCGUAGGUGGUUGAUCGCGUCGGAAGUGUAAUCUUGGGGCUUAACCCUGGGCGUGCUUUCGAUACGGGUUGACUUGAGGAAGGUAGGGGAGAAUGGAAUUCCUGGUGGAGCGGUGGAAUGCGCAGAUAUCAGGAGGAACACCAGUGGCGAAGGCGGUUCUCUGGGCCUUUCCUGACGCUGAGGAGCGAAAGCGUGGGGAGCGAACAGGCUUAGAUACCCUGGUAGUCCACGCUGUAAACGGUGGGUACUAGGUGUGGGGUCCAUUCCACGGGUUCCGUGCCGUAGCUAACGCUUUAAGUACCCCGCCUGGGGAGUACGGCCGCAAGGCUAAAACUCAAAGGAAUUGACGGGACCCCGCACAAGCGGCGGAGCAUGCGGAUUAAUUCGAUGCAACGCGUAGAACCUUACCUGGGUUUGACAUGGAUCGGGAGCGCUCAGAGAUGGGUGUGCCUCUUUUGGGGUCGGUUCACAGGUGGUGCAUGGCUGUCGUCAGCUCGUGUCGUGAGAUGUUGGGUUAAGUCCCGCAACGAGCGCAACCCUUGUUCACUGUUGCCAGCACGUUAUGGUGGGGACUCAGUGGAGACCGCCGGGGUCAACUCGGAGGAAGGUGGGGAUGACGUCAAGUCAUCAUGCCCCUUAUGUCCAGGGCUUCACGCAUGCUACAAUGGCUGGUACAGAGAGUGGCGAGCCUGUGAGGGUGAGCGAAUCUCGGAAAGCCGGUCUCAGUUCGGAUUGGGGUCUGCAACUCGACCUCAUGAAGUCGGAGUCGCUAGUAAUCGCAGAUCAGCAACGCUGCGGUGAAUACGUUCCCGGGGCU